GUGGGGAAUAUUGGGCAAUGGGGGAAACCCUGACCCAGCAACGCCGCGUGAGGGAAGAAGGUUUUCGGAUUGUAAACCUCUGUCCUUGGUGACGAAGGAAGUGACGGUAACCAAGGAGGAAGCCCCGGCUAACUACGUGCCAGCAGCCGCGGUAAUACGUAGGGGGCAAGCGUUGUCCGGAAUGACUGGGCGUAAAGGGCGUGUAGGCGGCCGAUUAAGUCUGGAGUGAAAGUCCUGCUUUCAAGGUGGGAAUUGCUUUGGAGACUGGUUGGCUUGAGUGCGGAAGAGGUAAGUGGAAUUACCAGUGUAGCGGUGAAAUGCGUAGAGAUUGGGAGGAACACCAGUGGCGAAGGCGACUUACUGGGCCGUAACUGACGCUGAGGCGCGAAAGCGUGGGGAGCGAACAGGAUUAGAUACCCCAGUAGUCC
RNAcentral lists this ribosomal RNA (428 nucleotides) under uncultured bacterium. RNAcentral's name for it is "partial 16S ribosomal RNA". It matches the Rfam family "Bacterial small subunit ribosomal RNA", at positions 354 to 796 of the family's 1533-position model. The record is from RNAcentral.